This 275-nucleotide ribosomal RNA is filed under the name uncultured bacterium. RNAcentral's name for it is "partial 16S ribosomal RNA". It matches the Rfam family "Bacterial small subunit ribosomal RNA", at positions 523 to 796 of the family's 1533-position model. The record is from RNAcentral.
AUACGAGUGGUCCAAGCGUUAUCCGGAAUUAUUGGGCGUAAAGGGUAUGUAGGUGGUUUUGUUAGUCGUUUGUCUAACCUCCUUGGCUUAACCAGGAAACAGCAAGCGAAACGGCAAGACUAGAGUAUGUUAGGGGUAAGCGGAACUAAUAGUGUAGGGGUGAAAUCCGUUGAUAUUAUUGGGAACACCAAAAGCGAAGGCAGCUUACUGGGACAUUACUGACACUGAAAUACGAAAGCGUGGGUAGCGAAUGGGAUUAGAAACCCCAGUAGUCC